This 786-nucleotide ribosomal RNA is filed under the name uncultured bacterium. RNAcentral describes it as "bacterial SSU rRNA". It matches the Rfam family "Bacterial small subunit ribosomal RNA", at positions 8 to 796 of the family's 1533-position model. The record is from RNAcentral.
AGAGUUUGAUCCUGGCUCAGAUUGAACGCUGGCGGCAUGCCUUACACAUGCAAGUCGAACGGUAACAGGUCUUCGGAUGCUGACGAGUGGCGAACGGGUGAGUAAUACAUCGGAACGUGCCUAGUAGUGGGGGAUAACUACUCGAAAGAGUGGCUAAUACCGCAUGAGAUCUACGGAUGAAAGCAGGGGAUCGCAAGACCUUGUGCUACUAGAGCGGCCGAUGGCAGAUUAGGUAGUUGGUGGGAUAAAAGCUUACCAAGCCGACGAUCUGUAGCUGGUCUGAGAGGACGAUCAGCCACACUGGGACUGAGAUACGGCCCAGACUCCUACGGGAGGCAGCAGUGAGGAAUAUUGGACAAUGGGCGAAAGCCUGAUCCAGCAACGCCGCGUGAACGAUGAAGCUGCUCUGCAGUGUAAAGUUCUGUAAGGAGGGACGAGGACCCGGGUAUUGCCCGGGGGGGACGGUACCUCUUAAGUAAGCACCGGCUAACUCCGUGCCAGCAGCCGCGGUAAUACGGGGGGUGCAAGCGUUGUCCGGAUUUAUUGGGCGUAAAGGGCUCGUAGGCGGGAUGGUAAGUCUGGCGUGAAAUCUCUCGGCUCAACCGGGAAGCUGCGCUGGAAACUGCCGUUCUUGAGUUGCGGAGAGGAAGUUGGAAUUCCUGGUGUAGCGGUGGAAUGCGUAGAUAUCAGGAAGAACACCAAUAGCGAAGGCAAACUUCUGGCCGCCAACUGACGCUGAGGAGCGACAGCGUGGGGAGCAAACAGGAUUAGAUACCCUGGUAGUCC